CCUGGCUCCACCUUUACCACCUCUUUCUCCUCACGCUCGCCAAUCCCUACAUUCAAUAUCCCGGCCGCCGCCGCCUCUUCACCCUCCAUUGCUCGCCGCCGGCGCCGGACCGUCGGCUCUCGCCGACUACCUCUGCUUCGUUGACUGUUAAAGGAUAUACCCAAACAUGAGUCCUGCUUUCACUUCAAAAUUCUCCAAAGUUUCUGCCUAUGGGCUGAAUCCAAGCCAUGCAUUUUGAUUUCUUCACAUGUCAAAAGAAAGGAGGACUUAUUGGUGUGAAACAAAAAAGUACUUUGACAAGUCGGCCUUACAGUUAUAUAGAUAUAUAGGUUAGAGAAUUGCGUCAAACUUUUAGUCAAGUCCAAGAUCGUGAGGAGAGGCUUCAACGGAAACUUGACCAAGUCCAAGAUCGUGAGGAGAGGCUUCAACAGACGCUUGGCCAAGUACAAGAUAAUAACAAGGAGCUUCAACAAAGUUUGCUUGAAAUGAAAGAGGAGAGGGACCAAUAUCGUGCGGAGAUGAUGCGUCAAAUGAAGGAUAUGAUGAUGAGUUUUGAGAGGAGGAUUCUUCAGCAGUCGCAAUUUACCACACAGGACUCACAACCAGUUACUGACGAUCAUGAUGUUGACUUAUAGUUGUAUUUGUCGUAUACUUAUUAUUUUGUGUUGAACAUAUAUACUUAAAUAUUUCUUUUUGUAUGAA
This is a long non-coding RNA of Dioscorea cayenensis subsp. rotundata (Guinea yam), 702 nucleotides long. RefSeq lists it as uncharacterized. The transcript has 4 exons. The record is from RefSeq and is a predicted model, not a curated record. Lineage: Eukaryota; Viridiplantae; Streptophyta; Magnoliopsida; Dioscoreales; Dioscoreaceae.